Non-coding RNA from Schizophyllum commune H4-8, 72 nucleotides. Lineage: Eukaryota; Fungi; Basidiomycota; Agaricomycetes; Agaricales; Schizophyllaceae. The record is from Rfam.
AGCAGCAUGGCGCAGUGGAAGCGCGCGGGGCUCAUAACCCCGAGGUCACUUGAUCGAAACAAGUUGCUGCUA